UACGGAGGGUGCAAUCGUUGCUCGGAAUCAUUGGGCGUAAAGCGCACGUAGGCGGCUCGUUAAGUCGGGUGUGAAAGCCCUGGGCUCAACCCAGGAAGUGCAUUCGAAACUGGCGAGCUUGAAUAUGGAAGAGGGUCGCGGAAUUCCCGGUGUAGAGGUGAAAUUCGUAGAUAUCGGGAGGAACACCAGUGGCGAAGGCGGCGACCUGGGCCAAUAUUGACGCUGAGGUGCGAAAGCGUGGGGAGCAAACAGG
Molecule: ribosomal RNA, 253 nt
Filed under: uncultured bacterium
Lineage: Bacteria
Description: partial 16S ribosomal RNA
Rfam family: Bacterial small subunit ribosomal RNA
Source: RNAcentral